GGGGUUGUGGCUCAGUGGUAAAGCAUUCCCCUCGCAUGUGUGAGGCCCUGAGUUCAAUCCUCAGCACUACA
RNAcentral lists this transfer RNA (71 nucleotides) under Marmota monax (woodchuck). RNAcentral's name for it is "tRNA.Ala". The stretch from base 6 to 66 matches the Rfam family "tRNA", at positions 6 to 65 of the family's 71-position model. Rfam says of the family: Transfer RNA (tRNA) molecules are approximately 80 nucleotides in length. Their secondary structure includes four short double-helical elements and three loops (D, anti-codon, and T loops). Further hydrogen bonds mediate the characteristic L-shaped molecular structure. tRNAs have two regions of fundamental functional importance: the anti-codon, which is responsible for specific mRNA codon recognition, and the 3' end, to which the tRNAs corresponding amino acid is attached (by aminoacyl-tRNA synthetases). tRNAs cope with the degeneracy of the genetic code in two manners: having more than one tRNA (with a specific anti-codon) for a particular amino acid; and 'wobble' base-pairing, i.e. permitting non-standard base-pairing at the 3rd anti-codon position. The record is from RNAcentral. Lineage: Eukaryota; Metazoa; Chordata; Mammalia; Rodentia; Sciuridae.